Lolium perenne is the source of this 819-nucleotide long non-coding RNA. RefSeq lists it as uncharacterized. Lineage: Eukaryota; Viridiplantae; Streptophyta; Magnoliopsida; Poales; Poaceae. The record is from RefSeq and is a predicted model, not a curated record.
GAGAUGGCCGCCUCGCAGAUCGACCCGGCGACGGGGCGCGGUUGGGCCUGCAGCGGCAAAGGACUACCACGUCCAAUCUCAUAUGGAACACAGGCUUGCUCCGCCCUUGCCUCAUGUGGUUGUCUUGAUGGAAGAGUGGUACAUCCUGCAGCUUGCGCCACCACUGCGUGCCGUGCCCUCGCCAGGAGGAGCAGCUGGUAGCCCGCGUCCAUCCCAGCUUGCACGGAGCCGCCUAUAUCGCCUGCCCCUCUUCUUGGUGUGCGGUGGUUGGCUGGUCAGACGUUUUUUUUUCUUUGAUGCCUGCGAUUGCUGGCCCUGGCUCGCCUAUGUUGUGUGGGCUGAUAUGAACACCACUGGAUUCAAUGUUGAUUGAGUGGCUUGGGAAGGGGAGUAAAACCGUGGCUUGCGAGGUAAAAGGCUAGAGAAACGUUGUUGUUGAGGCUGCUCCCAGAGCAGAGAUCUUCAAUGGCGAUGUAGGGAAAUUCCAGUGCCCACACAAGUUCCUCCAUUUGGCGAUAUUAGACGAUGAUAUCAAUAUUUAUGUUACUGGGAGCGAGUGACCAAUCGGCAGAAUGUUUAGCUCAUGGAGCUAUCAUCCGAUGAUGCAGGUGGCACGCGGAAAACCAUUGUUUCAGAUUGUCCAUUGUUUCUGUAGUCCAUGGUGCUGAAGAAGUACCCUGAUGCACCCACAGUUGUGUAGAAAUGUGGAUUCGUCGAGUGGAUCUCCAUGAAAGGUCAGGGCAUGUAACAAUCAAGAGCUCUCUCACUUGUCAAAAUGAUGCUAGACAAAGGCAUGUUUUUGCUUGGGUUCACUAAUUU